Long non-coding RNA from Cavia porcellus (domestic guinea pig), 5172 nucleotides. RefSeq lists it as uncharacterized. The record is from RefSeq and is a predicted model, not a curated record. NCBI's taxonomy places the organism in Eukaryota, Metazoa, Chordata, Mammalia, Rodentia, Caviidae. The transcript has 5 exons.
UAAAGCGAAAUUCCAAGUCCAAAGUGUUUUUCUGGUCAGAUUUCAUUGCUGUUUCCUCAGUGGCUCCAGAGGUUUCAAGCGCAAAGUCGGAGCUUAAUAAAUCCUGUGAGAUGAACAGGCGCAGUCAGCCUCUUUCGUUGAAAUCUUUUAGAAAUCAAAUCAGUCUCCUCCAACCGGCCCCAGCGGAGCGCGGCUACCGCCGCCGGCCGACUCAGCUGGCCCCGCCGCUCCCCGGCCUGCACCCUGCUCUGGCAGCUGCUGUCCGCAGCAGCCGGAACGUUUCUGCCAGGCUGCAGCGCUCUGCGGAAGAGCUUCAGCGGCGCGCUUCUAGGCGGGCGGCGCUUCCGGCGGAGAGUCGUUCGCGUCGGGCCGGUGAGUCCGCACGUGCAGCUGGGGUGUGCCCUGGCCCGGCGGGCGGGAGGUUGGGCGAGACGCCUGGGAGGCUGUCGGGCGGAGGACCGGCCGACUUGGCCUGGCUGGCCCAGUAGGGAAGUACUGUGGCAGGGAGCGCGGAAGGUGGCGAAGGACGCGCAGGGCCGCGGACGCGGACGUGGUUCCGCCUGGGGCCCAGCGCGAGGACUGGAAUGGUGGUCGGGGUGCGAGCCCUCUUCUGGGCUGGUUCUGUGGCAGCGGUUGAGUUGCCCACCUCGGAGCCCUGAGUUCGCACUUGGCGGGCAGGCCCAGUGCUAACUUGCCUCUUUUAUCAGCGAAUGCCUUCCCGAGGGCGGUGCUGGGUGCCGCUCACGUUGCUUUGCAGAUACCAUUUCAAUCUCGUCCAACAAAAUAACUGAACACUACGUGUCCUUUUUUUUUUUUUUUUUGAUGUGCAGGAUAAAUACUGAAAAUAGGACAGUGUUUAGUCACUGUGUACUAUGCUACCAUGUGCGGAAUAGCACAAAUGUUAAACUUACUGUCAUUUCUAGUUUUUCAGGUUGUUACAGCAGAUCACCAAAUUCCUGAAAGAAAUUAAUUUCUUACAGUGUGUGGUUUGUUAAUUCAGUGGAAAAUGUUCGGAAUUUUAGCUAAUAACAUCUGAUUAUAAGGUGUCACAAAAAAGUGAUACCUUAGCAGUAGUCUCCAACUUAUCAGUGGAUUUUAAUUUCACAAGUGCCUUUAUAGGUCGCCUCUAAUUUUAAAGUAUUUUCUAUAAAAGCAUGAUACAAAUGGAGGGUAAAACAUUGGUUAUGUUCCUUAUCUAUAUUUACAGAGUCUGCUAAAAAUAUGUGUACACAUGUAAGGAAGAGAAAAAGUUGUAAGUUAGCUGUGGUGGUGCACACAUCUUAAUCCCAGCGUUCUGGAGGCUGAAGCAGGAGGAUCAUUGCAAGUUGGAGACCAACCUGGGGUACAAAGGGAGCUGGAGACUAGCCUGAACUGCAUAGUGAGACCUUGUCUCAAAAAGACAAAAGGCCAAACAACAACAAAAAGAACCCUUGGUGAGAUUCAAGCUAGCUUUGGAAACACUUUGUAGCCCAGGCUGGUCUCAGAUUUGCAACAAUCUGCCUACUUAAACUUCCUGACUGCUGGGAUUACAGAAGUGUGCCAGCAGCUCUAAGAGGCAGAUUCUUUAAAAAAAAAAAAAAAAUUGUUCCAAAAGCUGCACCUGGUGCCAACUACCUAUGGCCCCAGCUGCUUUGGAGGCUGAGGCAGAACUAUUUGAUGGCAGGAGUUUGAGACCAGCUUGGGAAACAUAGCAGGACCUUUUAUGAAAAAUAAAGCAAAACAAAACAAGUCUACAAAAAAAACCCCACUUGGUUGAAUAUUUUAUUGAUAGUUAAUUUAUUGAGGCAUCAUAAGAUUAAUACGUUACCUACAAUUACAACAAGUACUCAAAGUGGUGCUUAUUAGUUUCCUGACAUUUAUUAGUAUAUUGAACUGCUGCAUGGGUCACCUUGGUCGCUAAGACUGCUGCUCAUGCAUUUUCAAUUUCUUCUCUAACGGCCAGCAGUGUAGUGUCCUGCGAUACAGGACAUCAUUUAGGGUCCUCCACAGAUAAAGUAUUAAAACACUGAUACAAGUUUUUCUAAAAUGUGUGUACCUUUUUUGGGCAGAUUUUCUCUGUAUAUAUUUAUUUCAAGGCUAAGCAUUACCGAGCAGGUAGAGGAAGAUCUUAUUGAUAUACAAUUACCUUAGGUAGGCAGACGGGCACUUAGAGAAAAUCUUUUAUUCUUGGUGAAUUGAUAAGUCUUCCUGGGCAAUUAGGAAAGAUUCUGGAGGAGCAGGGAUAACACCCUUAUAUGUGAGAGUCAUAGUUACUGAGACACAGGCGAAGAAGGAUGAGUCCAGGUGGGGAUGUAUUCCCUCAAUUUAGGAUCAGCCACUCCUCCAGCUCAGGGCUGGAGACAGCCAUCAACAUAGGUCAGUGCCAAAAGCCAAGUGUAGUAGUGCACCCCUGGAGUCCAACCACUGGGGGGGACUGAGGCAGGAGGAUUGCCACAAGUUUGAGGCCAGCCUGGAGUACAUGGUGAAUUCAAACCCAGCCUGAACUAUGUAGUGAGACUGUUUCAACACACAUGCAAACAUUGGUCAGUCACAUUAUUUUCCUUAACAACUUCAUAUUUUUGGCAAAUUUCUGUAAACUUAUCCUUGAAUUCUGAAACCACACUUAGUCCUUGGUCAACUUCCUGUUGACAUUCUUGAAAUGAAAAUCUAGUCAGUAUAGACUGUGUCAAAUAUACUAAAUAUAUUUGUCAUACUGAACAGUUUCAGUACAUUCUCCAUUUACAAUUGUAUGGAAUUUAAAGGGUAAGGAAGAUUUUGCCAAGGGAUAGGUGUUUUCUUCUGUUUUUUCUCCUUAGUCAAAGGCCCCUAGGCUGCAAUACAACUCUGGAAUCUAACCUCAUAUAGUGAGAGUACAGUGGUCAGGCACUCCUCCUUAUUGCCAUGUUAUCUAGCAAGUAGAGGCCUAAGAAGGCAGAGUAGGGUGUGGAAAACAGUUCAUCCUGACUAAAAAGUUAUCUUUAUCCAUGCCAGGGACAGGGUAUAUGACUCAUCUUGGGUUGGGCCAGGAGACACCACUGAGGAGGGUGGAGGUUGGGUGUGCUAGAGAUGUGUAUUACUUGGUUAUGGUUCAUGGGUUCUUUCUAUCACCAACUUUGGUGUUUUUGUUGUUUGGUUUCUUGGUUUUGUUUGUUUUUUAUGUAGUUCAGGCUGAAUUUGGACUCUUUAUGUAGCCCAGAUUGACCUCAAACUUGUGGUAAUCUUCCUGCCUCAGCCCCUGGGAUUACAGGUAUACACCACCACACUUGGCUAUUUAUUUUUAUUCUUUUGACUUAUGAUAUUUAAGCAUUUAGCUAUUUAUAAAUGAUGUUUCAUUCUUAAAAACUUGAUAAUAAAAUUCAAACCUACAGCCAGGUGAGGUGGCACACAUCUGUAAUCCCAGCACUUGGGAGGCCAAGGCAGGAGGAUCAGCAUGAAUUUAAGGUCAGCCUGGGCUACAUAAUAGGACCCUGCCUCAAAACAAAAUAUUCCAACCUGCACAAAGGUGGAGAGAGAACGUAAUGAAUCAUCAGAUACUUACCAAUUGUGGUAAAUGUCACUUAUGGAUAAUAUUUCAGCUAACACCUGUAUUGACUCCCAUAAAUCUAUGUUCUUAUUUUGUGAUGUCCAUAAAGCAUUUUUAUUCUUUCACAAAUUGUAAAAGGGUGUUUAUUUGUAUUGGAAUCCUGUUUGUUCAUAAAUAUUCAUAUUUGGAUAUUUUCACUAAUAACAAUUUGUUUUUUCUCUUUUUUUGGUGCUGAGGAUCAAAUUCAUGACCUUGCUGGGUGUGGUGGCACACUCCUGUAAUCCUAGCACUCAGGAGACUGAGGGAGGUGAAUUGUUAAAAGUUCAAGACCAGGCUGGACUACAAAGUGAGCCCGAAGACAGCCUGAACCAAAUAGUGAGACCCUGUCUCAAAAAAAGACAAGACAGAAAAACAAAACAAAAAACUCAUGACCUCGUACUUGCCCAAGCAAAGGCUGUGCCACUGAGCUAUAUCUUUGGGCCUAACAAAAAUGAUUGAGUAAAGUACAAAGAAUAAGAUGUACUUACAUUUGGGGCUGGGGAUUUAGCUCAGCGGCAUAUGCACCUGCCUUGCAAGUGUGUGGUUGUGAGUUCGAUCCCUGGUACCAAUAAAAAAGAAAAAGACCAAAAAAAAAGAUGUACUUACAUUCCUAUUUUUCUUCUUCUGGUUCGAGGGGUUAAAUCCAGGGCCUUUUGCAUGUUAGGCAAUUGCUUUUGAGCUAUAGCCACAGCUCUUCUUUUGAAUUUUAUUUUGAGACAGUUUUGCUUAAUUGCCCACCCUGGCCUUGAGCUUGAAAGCCUUCUACCUCAUCCUCCAGAGUAGUUUGUAAUACAGUAUGCAUUGCCAUACCCAUCAGUGGUUUUUUUGGUUGGUUGGUUGGUUGGUUUUGGUAUUGGGGGUUGAACUCAUGACCUUGCAGCUGCCAGGCAGGCACUUAUGCCACUGAGCUAUAUCCCCAGUCCAUUUUUGGGUUUUUGAGACAUGCUCUGUCUUUGUAGUUCAGGCUGGCCUUGAGCUCACUGCAGUCCUCCUGUCUCAGACUCCUGAGUGCUGGGUUUACAGAGUACUGAAUAAUACACACUUUUUAAAAUAUGGAUGAAGAACCUGAAAGAACUAAGCGAUGGGAAGGAGGCUAUGAGAGAACUUGGGAAAUUCUUAAAGAAGAUGAAUCUGGCUCACUUAAAGCUACCAUAGAAGACAUUCUUUUCAAGGCAAAAAGAAAAAGGCCGAGUAUUUGAACACCAUGGACAAGUUCGCCUUGGAAUGAUGCGCCACCUUUAUGUGGUGAUAGACGGACUGCGGACAAUGGAGGACCAAGAUUUAAAGCCUAAUAGACUGACAUGUACAUUAAAGGUACAGAAAGAUCACUUAAAGUCAUUUACAUGUGUCCCAAAUGCAGGAGGGACAGUGGAUUCUGGAAAAAAGUGCAGGAAAUUUUUUUCUAGUUGAUAUAAGUGACAGCUAAGAGAUAUGCUACAAGGAAAUAGUACAAGGAAAUAAUAAGCCUUACCUGCUAACUAUGUAAGUCUGAUUUCCGCCUUUCUGUCCCAAGUCAGGGUCUUGUUUUGUCACUUGUCCCUUUCCUUCACUGAAUCUUCAUUCUCCGUUCACUUCCUUGAAUCUGUCUUCUCAGCUUACAGACAUAUCCACAGUCGUCCUAACUCAUGAAG